This is a long non-coding RNA of Notolabrus celidotus (New Zealand spotty), 1440 nucleotides long. RefSeq lists it as uncharacterized. Lineage: Eukaryota; Metazoa; Chordata; Actinopteri; Labriformes; Labridae. The transcript has 2 exons. The record is from RefSeq and is a predicted model, not a curated record.
AAGCCUUGAGCAGCAAAAUUUUCCUCUGGGCUUGGAGAGCUCAUAUAAACUAUGGUCACAUUCCUUACAUUUAUUGGCUUCAAGAUUUGAACUCUUGAACAACAAGUCCUAGAGAAAUAUUCAUGAACACCUCAGGUGUGGACAGGAUUUUUAUUUGAAAACAGAGAGAAAAAACUUUGGUUAUAAAAACAUCUGAAUCCGUGUGGACGUGGACUGAGAGAACUCCUGUUCCAUACUGAGAUUCACCAUUAAAGAGAGUCGGCUUGAUCGUGUUAUCCGAGCACGUCUGGCAAAAAGAACAACAUGGAGACAACCUAACCGCUAUCCUCAAGGCUUCAUAACUAAAGUCAACAAAGCAGUGGGUAAUGUCACGCUGGCUAUGUCCAUUAUUGAUAUAGUGUAUAGUUCUAUAAAUCACAAAUAUAACAAACACCUACUGAAGUUGACUCUAGGCCAUGUUUCCACUAUGCCAGCUGAGGUGUUAGGUAUACUAGUGCUUCUUGUGGAGUUGUUAACCUUCAGGUGUCGUGGUGGAUGUCAAGCUGAAGUUUUAACAUGUGAUCAAAUAGUAAUUAUUUAUUUGUAGAAUUCCCACCUGAGUGAACUGACCUGAAAGUGUCAGAGGUGUAGGCAUGUUGGGAUCAUCUCAAUGCAAAGAAAAAAAAGCCUCAUCCAUGAUUCUUAGGCUACAUGCUGCUUGAGCCAAUCCCUGCACUCUGUGAGAGGCAGAGCACCAGACUCAUACGCACAAUAUUCCAGAAGGACCAACACAUUCGCUCUUGUAUUCACACCUAAAGGCAUUUUGGAAUUUCCAAUUCAGCAGUGUGUCUUUGGAGGAAGCUCAAACACACACAGACAGGACACAGAGGACCACUGAGCUCUCUCUUAUCUCCAUCCACUCUUUAAAAUGGAAAGGAGUUUCUUGCAGUUUUUGCUCUGUGCCUGGCGGCCUAGUGGUUAAGACGCAUGCCAUUUUUACAGGCCAGGGGUCUUUGCUGUGUGUCACAAGUCAGCCUCUCUCCCACAUUUCCCUGUUUGUAUCUCUGUUUAGCAAAAGGUGUCAGGGUACUGAAAAAAAUUAUAAGACUAAAAUACAUUUUACUCGACAACAACCUGUACACCCCGCCACUCUCCACAAGGAGUAACUAUGUGCUGUAAAUAUCAAUUUUUAAGAGUAAAGUAAUGUGUAUAAUGUGAUAAAAUGUAGAUAAGAAUUCUUGUGUGUGUAGUUACUGAUUGGUCACGUGUCUAGCCUCCACUGUCUCUUGUCAACAGUUGUACAUUGCAGUGCUUUUGCUCUGAUGGGAGCUUCUUGAGGUGCAGAAAAAUGCACCCCAAAGACAAAACACAGCAUAAGCUAAUGUGUUGUAGCAGAAAUGUGUUUACAUGUGAACUGAAACAUACAGAGCUCAUUACUCAUUAAAAGCAAUUCAGACCUUA